CUGGUCGUCGGGUAGCAAUAUCCGGCGGCCGGAGUCGCGAACGGGUGAGUAACACGUGGGUAAUCUGCCGCGAAGACCGGUAUAACCCGCCGAAAGGUGGGCUAAUUCCGGAUGUGGUCCCGUGGGGGCAUCCCUGCGGGAUUAAAGGGUGGGGACCGCAAGGCCUGCCGCUUCGCGAGGAGCCCGCGGCCUAUCAGCUAGUUGGUAGGGUAACGGCCUACCAAGGCUAAGACGGGUAGCUGGUCUGAGAGGACGACCAGCCACACUGGGACUGAGACACGGCCCAGACACCUACGGGUGGCAGCAGUCGAGAAUCUUUCACAAUGGGCGAAAGCCUGAUGGAGCGACGCCGCGUGGGGGAUGAAGGGCUUCGGCUCGUAAACCCCUGUCAGCCGCGAACAAACCCGCCGACCUAACACGUCGGCGGCUGAUAGUAGCGGCAGAGGAAGGGACGGCUAACUCUGUGCCAGCAGCCGCGGUAAUACAGAGGUCCCGAGCGUUGUUCGGAUUCACUGGGCGUAAAGGGUGCGUAGGCGGUCGGGUAAGUCUGACGUGAAAUCCCGAGGCUCAACCUCGGAAUGGCGUCGGAAACUGCCCGGCUGGAGGGUUGGAGGGGGGACUGGAAUUCUCGGUGUAGCAGUGAAAUGCGUAGAUAUCGAGAGGAACACCGGUGGCGAAGGCGAGUCCCUGGACAACUCCUGACGCUGAGGCACGAAAGCUGGGGGAGCAAACAGGAUUAGAUACCCUGGUAGUCCCAGCCCUAAACGGUGCACGUUUGCCGUGGGCGGAUUCGACCCCGUCCGUGGCGUAGCUANNNNNNNAAACGUGCCGCCUGGGGAGUACGG
This 845-nucleotide ribosomal RNA is filed under the name uncultured Verrucomicrobiota bacterium. RNAcentral describes it as "bacterial SSU rRNA". It matches the Rfam family "Bacterial small subunit ribosomal RNA", at positions 67 to 885 of the family's 1533-position model. Lineage: Bacteria; Pseudomonadati; Verrucomicrobiota. The record is from RNAcentral.